RNAcentral lists this ribosomal RNA (495 nucleotides) under uncultured bacterium. RNAcentral's name for it is "partial 16S ribosomal RNA". It matches the Rfam family "Bacterial small subunit ribosomal RNA", at positions 28 to 507 of the family's 1533-position model. The record is from RNAcentral.
GACGAACGCUGGCGGCGUGCCUAAUGCAUGCAAGUAGAACGCUGACGGCGGAGCUUGCUCUUCUGGAGGAGUUGCGGACGGGUGAGUAACGCGUAGGUAACCUGCCUGGUAGCGGGGGAGAACUAUUGGAAACGAUAGCUAAUACCGCAUAAGAGUAGAUGUUGCAUGACAUUUACUUGAAAGGUGCGAUUGCAUCACUACUAGAUGGACCUGCGUUGUAUUAGCUAGUUGGUGGGGUAGCGGCUUACCAAGGCGACGUUACAUAGCCGACCUGAGAGGGGGAUCGGCAAAGCUGGGACUGGAGCACGGCCCAGACCCCUACGAGAGGCAGCAGGAGGGAAUCUGUGGGGAAGGACGCAAGGCGGACCGAGCAACGCCGCGUGAGUGAAGGAUGUAUUAGGAUCGCAAAGGUCUGUUAUAAGUGAAGAACGAGUAUCAGAGUGGAACGGUCAGACUGUGACGGUAUCGUACGAAAAAGAGCCGGCUAACUACGUG